RNAcentral lists this small RNA (305 nucleotides) under Histoplasma ohiense. RNAcentral's name for it is "hypothetical lncRNA". Lineage: Eukaryota; Fungi; Ascomycota; Eurotiomycetes; Onygenales; Ajellomycetaceae. The record is from RNAcentral.
UUUAUACUCGUUUCUUUUCUGUUUUCUUUUGUCUUUUUGCCGUUUAUUUAUGAUCUUGUUUCAAGGUUUCUCACCGCCUGCGAUGUCUCCAUCGAAUGGAAACGCUAAAGGUUCCACUCGAGCGCAAACCGUGGGUGUAAGGAAUCUAGGUACCUAAGGAUGUGACUGCAGUAUGCACUUCUCCCUGCUGGCACAGGCUGAUCGAGAUUUCCUUGGAGCUGCCGGAGGAAGCUCUGGAAUUAGGUAAAUUACUAAUUAUAACAUCUGCAAAUCGCGGCAGCGUCUUCAUGCACAAGUCCUCUCGA